Long non-coding RNA from Lagopus leucura (white-tailed ptarmigan), 4847 nucleotides. RefSeq lists it as uncharacterized. The record is from RefSeq and is a predicted model, not a curated record. NCBI's taxonomy places the organism in Eukaryota, Metazoa, Chordata, Aves, Galliformes, Phasianidae. The transcript is spliced from 13 exons.
GGUGCUUGAAGCCAUCUCUAAAACGCGUUGGGUCUGCCUUUGUCCAAUAAUGGAAUCAUUCAUUCGAAACUUGGAUUUGAACAGUUUAUAUAAACACAGCGAUCCUCCUGAUUUCCCUGAGGAAAAUCGGAGAAUUAAACAAACUGAAAAGAUCUGGGUGCUCUACUUCAGUGAACAAGGUCUCUCGCCUUCAACUUCAGGAAGCUCUACCAAAUUCAAGAAGGAACAUUAUUCUGAAAUUCAACUGCAAUGCGGCACACCCAGGAAGCACACCACACAAUUCAGUUCAAAGUCUUCCAUAACUGGAUCUUUGAUAGGAAGAGUUGAGGUACUUAGCGGGAUGAUUGGUUUGAGCUUGUCACGCCACGGCAGUUUGUUGGCCUGCCCUCCGCAACAGUGCGGCAAGAAGUAGCAAGACACGUGCGCUUCUGUGAGUACUGCUGAAGUGGAAGUUCUCUGGCUUCCGAUGUUUGCACAGUAAAUUCCGUGUCAACACGAACAGACAGCAGAUCUCAGAGGAGUUAGAGGUUUGAAUAGCUGGAGGACUGUCCUUCCUGACUCUGUCUCGAUCUUAGCACAAUCAGUCACUCCGAAUGAAGCUUGACCGGCACCUUCCCAGAAGAGAAGUUUUGCAGAAACUUUUUGCAGAAAGUUUUCCCAGAAGAGAAAAUUGCAGUUUCCAAUGAAAUGCUGUCUGAGAACUGCUGAAAAAGCAGGGCCAGCAAGAAAAAGACCAUCAUCUCUUCUUGAACGUGACUUCUUAUCCUCACGUCGAAGCUAGAGAAGCCUUUUCAUCGUAUAACAGCAAAAGGAGGGAGAGUGGGUUAAACACAUGAGCUGCUACCUGCACUGCGUAUUCUACGAGAUGGCUUUUCUCUACUGCACAGACAGGCAGAACUGCCAUAUGCUCAGUAGAACCAAAAUUUUCUGCUGGAAUGUAAACAAAAUGCACCCUGCAGAAGAAAUUGCUUUGGAACAGCAUGAGAGUGGGAAGUAAGUAGCACAUCAGAUGUGAUUCAGCGCAUCGCUUACAAUGGCUUGGUCGAGAGAAAGAGAAGGACUGAAAAAAGCAAGGAGGUCAGACAUGUCCAAUACCUGAUGGCGAAGGACAGCAAGAUCUAAUUCCAAGAGACACCGUGGAAAACAAAAAUCCACUAAGAAAGCAUUCCUUGCUGAAAGCCACUUCUUCCUCAUCAGCUCUACCCCAAAUCCUCAAACCUUGACAACUCAAUACAAGGCAGCAAACAACUAAACGAUGCUGCUUGCAGCGCUGAAAUAAUGACACCGGUCAACCCCAGACCAAGAGUUACUCCCGCCCCAACUCUACAGUUCGGGGGGAUACAGAGGAAGGGAGGGAAUGAGCGUGUUCAAGGGAGAAAAAUAAUAGACAAAGUUACAGAAAACGCAUUCAAAGCCUGAAAAAUGAACAAAAGGAAAAAGCAUUCCUGAUACUGUGGCCGGAUCUACUGCAUACGAGGAUAACAGAACUGGUCUCUGGUACCACAGGAGCCUCAGCAUUUCAUGGGAAGCCUUCUCCUUCAGCCUCCUGAAAGCUCUGUCUGCAGCUGAGAAACUGAAGCUCUGCCUCCAUACAGUAGUCCAGGAAUCAUCCCCAGAGCCUACCCAGUAACUGACCUUCACAGUGACCUGAGGAAUCGGGUAUAAUACUAGCUUUUCAGCAUUUCUGAAGAGGGAGCAGAGGCUAUCUAUCAUCUUACAGGUCCCUGAAGAGCAUAGAGACACCAUGAUAGGAGAUGCUGUGAUGCAUUUUAGAAAUGGAACUUGUGGACAAAAGCUAUAUUUGCUUUAUUUCGUUAAAAUAAAUACUAGUGAAAUUAGGUCUUGUACCAGUGGAUGGAAUUCAGAGAGUCAGGACUAUUCAUGGACUACAAGACCCAAAAAUCUAUGUCUUCCAAUUCCAGACGUCUAUCUAUUUAAUCCACAUGAGAUUCAUUUACCACAAUCAAAAUAACAAUUUGGAAAGUCAUAGUAAAUUUUCACGAAACGAUGGAAUUAAAAAUAUAUAUAUUUCAUUUGAGAUUGCUAAUGAGUACCUCAAAUCAACGUGAGGCAAGCAACAUCGCUUUGUGGACAGUUCUACAUUUGAAAGCAUUUCCUUGGAGUUGUUUGCCUUCAAAAGGGAGCAUCAUGGAGUGUUUAUUGGCUCAAGACUUGGCCUGGGAGAAAAUGAAAGUAUUGCAUCUUGUGAAGGCAAGACAGCUGGCCUCUCCCUGCUACCUCUCAUCUCCUGACUUAAAUUUGCAGUUCUGGAAGACAGGAACAAAGGAGUUCGAGAUGAAAUACCAAAGCCAGAAGCUGUCACUCCAAAAGAACAGGCUUACUUUGGACUAUAAGUAAGAGUUUGUACUGUCAUUGUAUUUGUCAAGUGAACUACAGAAGUUCCAACAACCCAUCGCUACUGCAGAUCAGCACCUAGCACCAAGACAUCGCUGGAUCCAGGAGUGAUGGCAGGUUCUACCAUCUCACUCAGCCAUUGAACUGUGAGGAAUCGUUGCCAGUUUUGGCUGCUUGAGCAAAGUCAUAUGGAAGUAUAUGCUUACACAGUCCAGGAAUAUUCACAGGAAGAACAGCAACAGACGGGAGACAGAAAUGUUAAUAUGGAGUACGAUAUAAAAAAAAGAAGUGCUUGUGUACCCCCUUCGUGCUGGACUUGGCUGAUUUAAGACACUCACCAAUGACACAGCUGAAUCUCUCCACUGCCCAAUUACUCACAGGUGGAUGACACUGACCUCACCUUGACUCUGCAGCUGUCAGCAAACUUCACAUAACAAUUGUGAUUCCAGUGCCUUCCUGUCAUGACUCCAGAUGUAGGUUGGUGAGCCAAACUGCAACAUUACACGUUUUCUUAAUGCAGCCUUCGUGCCUCUAUUCUCCACUGGCUGCUCCAUCACAUUCUAUUUUUGAGAGCUGCCGUACUCUUACCAGUAAAGACUUCCAGCUGUUUGCUUGGUUUGGGGUGCUUUGUUUCUUUUUUCGGCAAGGUCUUUUGAGUCCAUCUGUUGGAACGCGCAGGAUUUAGUAGACUGACUCACUUGUCCUUACAAAGCUCUUCUUAUUCAUAUUGAUUGAUAGGUAAGACGAGAAAAGCACCCACAAGAAUUCAGUUGGGCACUCUGCUUUUCAAACACUGAUGGGUAGCAGCCAUUAUCAGGACUUCUCAGUACAAUUCAGUGCAAGUUAAACAGCCAACUGUGCUGCUCUCUUACGAGGUAGCAGCCUUCUAAGAAGGAAGGCUGUCUGAACUGUCCUCAACCUUUCCAGUUUGAACUAUUUUUGAUAGAUCCAAAAGUAGCUCUGGAUUCUCACACCAGUCCUGCUGGUAAUAUCACAAGACCCUAAAAUCUAUUUUCUACCAACUACUUGUCACCCCUCCCUGCAACACAUAUUGGGCGGUCAAUGAGUAGUUGGACAAUAUGUGCAUUCAACUGUAUAAGCAUCUUUCAGGCUUAUGCUUUUUAAGAAAUAAAGGGAAGUCUGUGCAGUCUCCAUAUCCCGCAAGUUCCCAAACUAGCAAAUACGAAAAGCGUUCUCAAUAACCAGAAGUUAAAAAGCUCAAUUUAAUUCUCUUUCAACCUGUAACAUCAAAAAAUCCCUGAUGGACAUUUACCAGGUGGUUCAGUUUAUUAAAAACAGAUUUAUUACAGUUACCGUGCAAGGAGAGGAUGGGUCUAGGAAUUUAAGAUGAGCACAUUUCAGAGACCUCUUCUUCUGCAACUGAAAUGCUUUUCAAAUUCUGUCUAGACAAAGCUGCCUUAGUUAUCAAACAUUGUACGUGCUGGGGAUUUCUGCAGGAGGGGCUGCAGAGACACGGAAGGUCUUACUCUAUCUCUGAAGGAACGCUCCAAUGCUCCAGCCACAGUCAGUCUGCAAAACCACCCACACUGAACUGAACACUGAACCACCACACUGAACUGAACACUGAACCCACAGAACUUUCACGGAGGACACGUGUAUGUAUUCCUGUCUCAAGGGUUAGAUGAGAGCCAAAGUCAAUUCCUGUUUACUACUGAUCACGGGCUCCUAAGUUUUCACCAAUUCUAGUUGCUACUUAUUACACAAUAGCUUUGAAUUUUUCCCUUAGGGCACCUCACUUUGCUGCUCACAUAUUGAAACAACUUGUCAGUAUGUUCCCAGCCAAAAUACAGUAAAGGGCAUAUUUCUUUAACAACACAUGCUAUAAUUGAAUCGUAUUUUAAAUUCCUGCAUAAUUUCACAUAUUUGUUAAUGUGACUGUAAUCGUGAACAAGUUUCAUUAGCAUUGUCUCUUACAGUCUUUUAAAAAUUCAUCUCUGGAAGGCAUUUGAGAGGAUUCAGAAAUAUUAAGCUGAAAUUUUAUUCAAGAAGUCCAAGUUUGACAGAAGACUGAAUCACAACACCUCUUCUUACAUUGGUCCAUGUCUUAAAAUCCAGUUGUUGUCCUGUUCUUCCCUCAAGCACUGCAUGUACUAUGCAGUUUCAAUUAAGCUUCGGUUUUUGCAGAAAAAAAGCACACACAGAAAACAAUUCUUAAAACCAAGCGUGAAUACUUGACUGUGAGAACAGCCAUUUUGGCCCAAAGGCCUUUUGCAGCAUGGACACUAAACAAUCGUAUCUACUGGUGCCAUUUCUCACAUACAGGUUCCAUUACUAAAAGAAAUAUCUUACACUUGUAAUAUCAGGUCAUAUUUGCAAGAGAGAGACAUACCCAAGUUUACAAGGCAAAACUCAGCAAUGCCAUUUGCACUGCAGAUUUAUGGAUAACAACAGACUGUGCCUUACCUGACUGUAGUUCUGAUGGUGUUAUCUUUAUUGUGAUUGUGCUCUUUGCUCACCUUUUCUGCAGAGGA